UACGAAGGGGGCUAGCGUUGUUCGGAAUUACUGGGCGUAAAGCGCGCGCAGGCGGUCUUCCAAGUCAGUGGUGAAAGCCCGGAGCUCAACUCCGGAACUGCCAUUGAAACUGUUGGACUUGAGUACGAGAGAGGUGAGUGGAAUUCCCAGUGUAGAGGUGAAAUUCGUAGAGAUGUGGAGGAACACCAGUGGCGAAGGCGGCUUUUUGGUCUGUAACUGACGCUGAGGCGCGAAAGCGUGGGGAGCAAACAGG
This 253-nucleotide ribosomal RNA is filed under the name uncultured bacterium. RNAcentral's name for it is "partial 16S ribosomal RNA". It matches the Rfam family "Bacterial small subunit ribosomal RNA", at positions 524 to 776 of the family's 1533-position model. The record is from RNAcentral.